Molecule: transfer RNA, 19 nt
Filed under: Alzatea verticillata
Lineage: Eukaryota; Viridiplantae; Streptophyta; Magnoliopsida; Myrtales; Alzateaceae
Also listed under: 2 other names
Description: partial tRNA-Gly
Source: RNAcentral
UUGUAGCGGAUAUAGUUUA